This 263-nucleotide unclassified non-coding RNA is filed under the name Hevea brasiliensis (rubber tree). The record is from RNAcentral. Lineage: Eukaryota; Viridiplantae; Streptophyta; Magnoliopsida; Malpighiales; Euphorbiaceae.
CAAAAGUGGAGACAAAAGCAUAAGCGCCGGCGAUAACCAAAGCCGUCGCACCAGCAUCCUGAACCAUUGAACCACCAUCACCAAUAACAUCAAAACCACCUAAACCGGCCAUCACCGGACCGGGAACAGAUCGGAAAUUGUACGGCGAGAAGAAACGUCGGCGAAAUAUAUCAGUGUCGGUUGUUGCAGUGAGAGAUGGAAGCGGCAGAUUUGAGAGGCGGAGAUGACGAGGAAGAAGAGAGUGGGCGACCGGAACCACCAAG